GUGCCAGCAGCCGCGGUAAAACGUAGGUGGCGAGCGUUAUCCGGAUUUACUGGGCGUAAAGGGUGUGCAGGCGGGGGGUCAAGUGGUGUAUGAAAUCGCCCGGCUUAACCGGGCGGGGUUAUGCCAGACUGGCCUUCUGGAGUGCGAGAGAGGGGCGUGGAAUUCCGGGUGUAGUGGUGAAAUGCGUAGAGAUCCGGAGGAACCCCAGAGGCGAAGGCGGCGCCCUGGCUCGCAACUGACGCUCAGACACGACAGCAUGGGGAGCGAACGGGAUUAGAAACCCCCGUAGUCC
Molecule: ribosomal RNA, 292 nt
Filed under: uncultured bacterium
Lineage: Bacteria
Description: partial 16S ribosomal RNA
Rfam family: Bacterial small subunit ribosomal RNA
Source: RNAcentral